GACGAACGCUGGCGGCGUGCUUAACACAUGCAAGUCGAACGGAAAGGCCCUGCUUUUGUGUGGUGCUCGAGUGGCGAGCGGGUGUGUAACACGUGAGUAACCUGCCCUUGACUUUGGGAUAACUUCAGGAAACUGGGGCUAAUACCGGAUAGGUGCUCCUGCUGCAUGGUGGGGGUUGGAAAGUUUCGGCGGUUUGGGAUGGACUCGCGGGUUAUCAGCUUGUUGGGCGGGUAGUGGCUUACGAAGGGUUUGACGGGUAGGCGGCCUGGGAGGGUGAACGGCGACAUGGGGACUGCGGGAGGGACCAGUCUGCAACGGGGGACAACAGGCGGGAAUAUGGCACAAUGGGCGGAAGCCUGAGGAGACAAUCCCGCGAGCGGGAUGACCGCCUUCGGGGUGGAAACCGCAUUCGGCUGUGACGAUGCGUGAUUGACGGUAAUGGGUAAAGAAGCACCGGCUAACUACGUG
Molecule: ribosomal RNA, 468 nt
Filed under: uncultured bacterium
Lineage: Bacteria
Description: partial 16S ribosomal RNA
Rfam family: Bacterial small subunit ribosomal RNA
Source: RNAcentral